GUACAAACAAUUCUCACAUAUUUUCUGCUUCAUUUUAGUCUUUUUAAACACUUUUGUAGUUUAUGCAGGAAAAUAUCAUGGAAAUAUCAGAUGUGCUGCAUAAUUAUAUCUUCACACUUUACUCUUUAUUUGAAAGUUUUGACUCUUGAUGUGUUUUGUGGACUUGUGGCAUUGGACCGUGUCCCUCGUGGUGUCCUGUGGGGGGCGCUCUGGGAGUCUGGGGUCCAGUCCCUGUAUGACCGGAGCAGGAGCUGUGUUCGUUGGCGGCAAUGAUGUUGUUCUGUUGGCUUCAUCGAGCCAGGACCUGCAGCACUGGGGCGGUUUGACCCGAGUGUGAAGCGUCUGGGAUGAAGAUCAACUCUUCUAAGUCUGAGGUUGUGGUUCUCGACCCGGAAAAAGGCGUCUUGUCGUCUCCAGGUGGAGAGUCUCUGCCUCAAGUGGAGGAGUUCAAGUAUCUCGGGGUCUUGUUCAUGAGUGAGGGGAGGAUGGAGCGUGAGAUUGACAGGUGGAUCAGUGAUGCGGUCGCUGUAUCGUUGUGGUGAAGAGGACCUGAGUCGAAAGGUGAAGCUCUCGAUUUACCGGUCAGUCUUCGUUCCUACUCUCACCUCUGGUCAUGAGCUCUGGGUAGUGACCGAAAGGACGAGAUCGUGGAUACAAGUGCUCGAAAUGAGUUUCCUCUGCAGGGUGUCUGGGCGUCUCCCUUAGAGACAGAGUGAGGAGCUCAGUCACACGGGAGGAGCUCGGAGUAGAGCCGCUGCUCCUCCACGUGGAGAGGAGCCAGUUGAGGCUUGGGCAUCUGUUCUGAUGUCUCCUGGGCGUCUCCCUCAGGAGGUGUUCAUGUUCCACCGGGAGGAGGCCCCGGGGAAGACCCAGGACACACUGGAGGGACUAUGUCUCUGGACUGGACUGGAAACACCUCGGGGUCCCACUGGAGGAGCUGGAGGAAGUGUCUGGGGUGAAGGAAGUCUGGGAGUCCCUGCUUAGACUGAAGCCCCCACGACCCGACCCCGGAUAAACGGAAGAAAAUGGAUGCAUGGACUCUUGAUGAUUUGUCGAUGACAUAAAGUUUUAAAUUACUUGAAAUGCUUCGAUAAAAAAAAAAAGCUGAAGUACGUCACAUAGAGAGAGGAAAAGGAGGAGGAAGGGAUCUUUGUGUUUGUGUUUUGUUUGUGUUUGUGUUGUGUUUGUGUUGUGUUGUAAUUUCUUGUCUUUCCUGGAGUAUUUUUGCUCCUGUAUUUGUACUUUUACUGAAGUACUGAGUACUUCCACUGUGUCUUUAUACACUUCCUUGAGGACGGGUCAAACGCAGGUUUAAGCAGAGACAUGAGGACGGGUCAAACGCAGACGUCUCUGUGGGGACAAUAAAAUGGACCUGAUCUUUAGUAAACGUGUCAUUUUAAAUCUGUGUUUGUUUUUCAGGUGUUUGGACAAAAUGGAGUCGAGUGAGAAUCCUGCAAACACAAAUCCCUCUGCUCCAAGAAACAAAAACUCUGAAACAAACUCACCGACAACGAGAGGAAGAAAACGAGACAAGAACAACCUGACCACACCUGAAGGGGGCAGUGACGUCAGAGAUCGAUCAAAAAGCCUUUAAUAAACUUCAAAAAGUCACGUUCACCAAAACGUGGCCUCAGAUCCAAGAAGGUCCCGUCCAGAGGAAACGCUCCACCUGCAGCGGAGCAGGAGAAGUUCUGUAGAUCCCAGAAGUCAUCAUCAUCUCUGUGAAGAGCAGGACGAGGCUGUAGAGUGAUUCUUGUUCCAGGGAGAUGAGGACGUCCUAACAGUGGAGCCACGCACCUAGAACUUUGCAUCUAAAAAUACUACAGCACCUUUUUAUGUAUAAACAGAUAUUUGCACUAGCAGUUUGGUUCCUGAAACCUGGGAUGCAACUAUUUUUCACUAUUAUUAGUUUUUGUGUGAUUUGUUUUUAGUUGUGUCCCAGGUUUUAGUUCCCAAAUUGUUGUUGAUUGUGUAUCUUUUUAAAAAAAAAUGUGUCAAAUGAGCUCUUUUAAUACUAACUAAAAUAAAGAACUGUAUAUUUUUCCACUUACCACCCGCCCGCCGGCGGGUGAUUUUCCAAUAAAAAAUGUUCACUCUGUA
Long non-coding RNA from Boleophthalmus pectinirostris (great blue-spotted mudskipper), 2100 nucleotides. RefSeq lists it as uncharacterized. The transcript has 6 exons. The record is from RefSeq and is a predicted model, not a curated record. Lineage: Eukaryota; Metazoa; Chordata; Actinopteri; Gobiiformes; Gobiidae.